Molecule: transfer RNA, 62 nt
Filed under: Placida sp. 1 NY-2013
Lineage: Eukaryota; Metazoa; Mollusca; Gastropoda; Limapontiidae
Description: tRNA-Cys
Source: RNAcentral
AGAGUAAUAGUUUAAUUAAAACAUUAAGCUGCAAACUUAAAAUUGGCUUACGUCUUACUCAU